AACGGCCAUAUCACGUUGAAACACCGGUUCUGGUACGAUCACCGACGUUAAGCAACGUCGAGCCUGGUCAGUACUUAGAUGGUUGACCACUUGGGAAGGCCAGGUUCUGUAA
Non-coding RNA from Acanthosepion pharaonis, 112 nucleotides. Lineage: Eukaryota; Metazoa; Mollusca; Cephalopoda; Sepiida; Sepiidae. The record is from the annotation of a GenBank genome assembly.